CAUGGGUGCGAAGUUUCAAUCCUUUUAAGAUAGAAAUAUCUGUCAAAGACCUGCAAAACAUAUUAACGACAACUCAAGAUAUGAUUCUAAGAUGUUUUGACAUGGCUGUUCGGCUGCUUGCCAAUAAAGAGUCACGUAGGCCGAAAGAAGAAAUCAUAAAUAAUAGAAAGCAUUAUAUGGACAUGCGUUUUUGGAGAAUGGUUGGUUUUGGUAAACUUCCAAAGUACCAUCAGGAUCCUACAACAGAAGAGUUAGCCAAAACACUCGAUUGUUGGCCAUCAAUGAAUUAUUAUAUCACGGGUUGUAGAUAUGUAAGUAUGUGUUCAUUUCGAAUGUAUUUAUAAAGGACACUUCUGUUGUAGGAUCCUAAUGACUGAUAUUUUGCAGGUUCUCAUGCCAUGGAAAUUUAAUGGUUGUCACGCCCUUUUCGUAAUAGAUCAUGUUAAAAAGCAUGUGACUUUUAUCGAUUUUACACCGACUCAAGAUUGGUGUAAACACAUGUCAUACAAGAGGUUCGCGGAAGCGAUUAUCAUGACCUCAAAAAAAUAUAAGAUUGCUUACAGCAAGAAACGUUCUGGAUGGGCGGAGGAUAUCUUUAAGUGGGAACAUACAAUUCAGACUGGUGUUCCAAUUGACUUAAGAGGGUUUAAUACCAGCUACCUCGUUCUACAAGCUAUGGCCAUGUGGGGGAAUGACAGACGACUGAAAUUUGUUGGGGAUGCAAAGACUCUUCGAAGGAACUUUGUGAUUGAUCUUUUAAGUUAUGAGGACAAUUCGUGCCGAUAUGCUAUCCCUGCAAACAUACAACAAAGACUUAUCGAUAUCGCUAAAAAAGAUUAGCUGAUUAGUGAACAGUUGUCGACACAUUUGUGAACACAUUUAUCCAAAACAUUACUUGAAGAUGACUUUGUUAGUUCCUAAGUUCAUGUAAUGUCGUAGAUCUUGGUAGCCAGUUUCAUGUGUGUGUUAGUGCUGUAUAUUUGGACCUGUCAUUUACAUUUACAUGGUGUGUGUUAUUAUUGCAAGUGCUCUAUAGUAUGCCUUUUGAUCUAUGUCAGGUUGCUCAACUUUAUUCUGGUUUGGUGAAGGUUUGUUCCUUCAACUUAAUGCAUCAGUAAUGGUUGCAUUUUCUGGUAGAUAGAACAAUACCAUUCUGUUCUCCAUUCCAAUUUUUCACAUUAUGUUGCCGCCAUAAUAGGUACCACAUGAUGUCACUGGUUGUAUGAUAACAGCUAGAAAAAGAAUGCCGGUAACAGCCGGUAACAGCCAGUGAGCGGGCAAUCAUCAUUUUAAAUCCUAUAUUUUGACUAGAGAGCUAUGCUGGUGAAGUAACUUUGUUUUUUUACUCGUGCAGGAGAUAUGCACAGCCGAUACAUUCCUCAGCAAGAUUACUUCUCAGAGGGACUCUACACGUUCGAUAUUGGGCAGAAUGACCUUGCUGGUGAGUUCUAUU
RNA transcript from Zea mays, 1453 nucleotides. RefSeq lists it as uncharacterized. The transcript is spliced from 4 exons. The record is from RefSeq and is a predicted model, not a curated record. Lineage: Eukaryota; Viridiplantae; Streptophyta; Magnoliopsida; Poales; Poaceae.